Molecule: long non-coding RNA, 849 nt
Filed under: Equus caballus (horse)
Lineage: Eukaryota; Metazoa; Chordata; Mammalia; Perissodactyla; Equidae
Description: lncRNA (ENSECAG00000052482.1)
Source: RNAcentral
GGAAGUGGAACUGCUGGAUCAUAUAGCACAUCUAUUUUUAAUUUUGAGGAAAAUCUGUUUACUGUUCUCCAUAGUGGCUGAACCAGUUUACAAUCCCAACAACAGUGCACAAUAGUUCCUUUCCUCCACAUCCUCACCAACACCUGUUAGCUCUUGUCUUCUUAUGACAGCCGUUCGUACAGGCAUGAGGUGACAGCUCAUUGUGGAUUUGGUUUGCACUUCCCUGAUGAUUAGUGAUGCUUCUUGCAGGGCCUGUUCUACCCGAUGUGGCAAAAGUGGGCACCAACUCACGCUGCUUUGUUACUGCAGUGCGUGGCUGGAAGCUUGGGUCUACACUGGGCCACCCUAACACCAGGCCAGGACGGUUCUGUUGUAAACCAGUGACUUCCUUCUAACGGCUCAGACAGUCAUGAACAAACGCGACAUGAAAGGCCAGCACAAGAGCUCAGGACCGUAAGCUCCAUCAGUGGACAUGGUCUGUCUGAUGCACUUACCAGGAGGGGAAUACUAUCCAGGAUGGAACACCAAGGAAACCUCUGAAUUGCUCAAAAUGUAAAAAGAAUCCUGAUACUUUAAAUGAUGUCUAAAAUGGUUUUGUUAAGUCGAAAAACACCAGCUGAGAUUUUGAUUUGCAACUCAUCUUAGGUUGGGCUCCUCAGGAAAUGGACAUCGAGAUGAAGAUUUGCAGGCAGAUCCAGAGACAACAGAAUCUCUGAGUUGAAACAUUCAAAAUAGAGAACAACAAAGACGUUUGGAAGAUGUCAGACUGACCACCCUCCUUUUUGGUUAAACUCUUCUCCUGGGGAGCCCUUCCUAGGAAGCCUAAGAAAGAGAAAAGCAACCCUUGGC